GCUAGUGAUAUGCCAUAGAUAUUUUCUCCAGACACUGGGCAGUGGCAGCAAGCAGCAGCUCCCGGUCAGCCACAGGAUCAUGAGGGUAAACACCCUCACCUACCACGCACCGUGUUGCCGUAUGACAUGACUCUACCCAACCGUAAGCUGAAGUCUGAUAUUGAGGUUGUUUUCCAAUGAACACAUUCUUCUAUGAUCAUCUUUCUAUGACAGAUGCCAGGCGAGGUGCCAGAGCCUCAGCAUUGAGAAGUGGUCAACUUAAAAGUCGGCACCUUCCAUCUGCUGGACUCCCAAGUAAAACCUCAACUCCAGUCCUCAUAAUUGCACCAUUAUUGCGGAAAGCUUACGCCAGAGAAAAAAAUAUAAUAUGUGAAUACUGCAUGAUAACCUAGAAUUCAGGUAAUGCGAGCAACUUACUUUUUCUUAUGCUUUUCAUUUUGUGUUCUAAAUUAAGUAACCCAUGUGAUUGGCUCAUUUUACUUUGGGUCCAUGAGACUUUCUGCUCCAUGACUUGGGUGUAAUUCACCUGGUUGUAUACUUAGAGGCAACCACUGCAUCAAAGUAAUUUUCCAUAAGACAGAAGGUCAUUCCUCCUCCCAAGGAGAAAUCUGGGACAUGGAGAAAGGAGAAAGCUGACCAUGGAGUUUGAGGGCUGAUGGAUAGGACAUGGGUUCUCAC
This 678-nucleotide long non-coding RNA is filed under the name Callithrix jacchus (white-tufted-ear marmoset). RNAcentral's name for it is "lncRNA (ENSCJAG00000071718.1)". Lineage: Eukaryota; Metazoa; Chordata; Mammalia; Primates; Cebidae. The record is from RNAcentral.